AAAGGAAUUGACGGGGACCCGCACAAGCAGCGGAGCGUGUGGUUUAAUUCGUUGCUACACGAAGAACCUUACCUGGGUUUGACAUAUAAGUUGUAGGGAACUGAAAAGGGACCGACCCUUCGGGGAGCUUAUACAGGUGUUGCAUGGCUGUCGUCAGCUCGUGUCGUGAGAUGUUCGGUUAAGUCCGCUAACGAGCGCAACCCUCGCCGUAUGUUAUACGUGUCAUACGGGACUGCCGGUAAAAAGCCGGAGGAAGGCGGGGAUGACGUCAAGUCAGCAUGACCCUUAUAUCCAGGGCUACACACACGCUACAAUGGUCUGUACAAUUGGUUGCCAAGCCGCGAGGCGGAGCCAAUCCAUAAAGCAGGCCUCAGUUCAGAUUGCAGUCUGCAACUCGACUGCAUGAAGCCGGAGUUGCUAGUAACCGCAGGUCAGCUAUACUGCGGUGAAUACGUUCCCGGGUCUUGUACACACCGCCCGU
This 481-nucleotide ribosomal RNA is filed under the name uncultured bacterium. RNAcentral's name for it is "bacterial SSU rRNA". It matches the Rfam family "Bacterial small subunit ribosomal RNA", at positions 903 to 1397 of the family's 1533-position model. The record is from RNAcentral.